UACGUAGGGUGCAAGCGUUAAUCGGAAUUACUGGGCGUAAAGCGUGCGCAGGCGGUUAUAUAAGACAGAUGUGAAAUCCCCGGGCUCAACCUGGGACCUGCAUUUGUGACUGUAUAGCUAGAGUACGGCAGAGGGGGAUGGAAUUCCGCGUGUAGCAGUGAAAUGCGUAGAUAUGCGGAGGAACACCGAUGGCGAAGGCAAUCCCCUGGACCUGUACUGACGCUCAUGCACGAAAGCGCGGGGAGCAAACAGG
RNAcentral lists this ribosomal RNA (253 nucleotides) under uncultured bacterium. Its description in RNAcentral is "partial 16S ribosomal RNA". It matches the Rfam family "Bacterial small subunit ribosomal RNA", at positions 524 to 776 of the family's 1533-position model. The record is from RNAcentral.